Molecule: ribosomal RNA, 168 nt
Filed under: uncultured Bacillota bacterium
Lineage: Bacteria; Bacillati; Bacillota
Description: uncultured Firmicutes bacterium partial 16S ribosomal RNA
Rfam family: Bacterial small subunit ribosomal RNA
Source: RNAcentral
CUACGGGAGGCAGCAGUGGGGAAUAUUGCACAAUGGGCGAAAGCCUGAUGCAGCAACGCCGCGUGAGUGAUGAAGGCCUUCGGGUUGUAAAACUCUGUCUUUGGGGACGAUAAUGACGGUACCCAAGGAGGAAGCCACGGCUAACUACGUGCCAGCAGCCGCGGUAAU